AAUAGAUACCCUGGUAGUCCACGCCCUAAACUAUGUCAACUAGUUGUCGGGGAAGAAAUUCCUUGGUAACGCAGCUAACGCGUGAAGUUGACCGCCUGGGGAGUACGGCCGCAAGGUUAAAACUCAAAGGAAUUGACGGGGACCCGCACAAGCGGUGGAUUAUGUGGAUUAAUUCGAUGCAACGCGAAAAACCUUACCUACCCUUGACAUGUACGGAAUUCCGCAGAGAUGUGGAAGUGCCCGAAAGGGAACCGUAACACAGGUGCUGCAUGGCUGUCGUCAGCUCGUGUCGUGAGAUGUUGGGUUAAGUCCCGCAACGAGCGCAACCCUUGCCAUUAGUUGCUACAUUCAGUUGGGCACUCUAAUGGGACCGCCGGUGACAAACCGGAGGAAGGUGGGGAUGACGUCAAGUCCUCAUGGCCCUUAUGGGUAGGGCUUCACGCGUAAUACAAUGGUCGGUACAGAGGGCUGCCAACCCGCAAGGGGGAGCUAAUCCCAGAAAGCCGAUCGUAGUCCGGAUUGUAGUCUGCAACUCGACUGCAUGAAGCCGGAA
RNAcentral lists this ribosomal RNA (553 nucleotides) under uncultured bacterium. RNAcentral's name for it is "bacterial SSU rRNA". It matches the Rfam family "Bacterial small subunit ribosomal RNA", at positions 777 to 1331 of the family's 1533-position model. The record is from RNAcentral.